Molecule: ribosomal RNA, 497 nt
Filed under: uncultured bacterium
Lineage: Bacteria
Description: partial 16S ribosomal RNA
Rfam family: Bacterial small subunit ribosomal RNA
Source: RNAcentral
GAUGAACGCUGGCGGCGUGCCUAAUACAUGCAAGUCGAGCGAACAGACGAGGAGCUUGCUCCUCUGACGUUAGCGGCGGACGGGUGAGUAACACGUGGAUAACCUACCUAUAAGACUGGGAUAACUUCGGGAAACCGGAGCUAAUACCGGAUAAUAUAUUGAACCGCAUGGUUCAAUAGUGAAAGACGGUUUUGCUGUCACUUAUAGAUGGAUCCGCGCCGCAUUAGCUAGUUGGUAAGGUAACGGCUUACCAAGGCAACGAUGCGUAGCCGACCUGAGAGGGUGAUCGGCCACCAUGGAACUGAGACACGGUCCAGACUCCUACGGGAGGCAGCAGCAGGGAAUCUUCCGCAAUGGGCGAAAGCCGGACGGAGCAACGCCGCGUGAGUGAUGAAGGUCUUCGGAUCGUAAAACUCUGUUAUUAGGGAAGAACAAAUGUGUAAGUAACUAUGCACGUCUUGACGGUACCUAAUCAGAAAGCCACGGCUAACUACGUG